AUUCUGCAGCCACCCAUAUGUCACCACCUACCUGCUUUAUCUCUUUGUCACAUUUUCAUCUCUUUCUACUUCAACUUUCCUUUGAUUCAUCCCCAAAAGCUUUCCCCUAGGCCACUUGGCAGUAUUCCCUCACUAGUCAAAAUCUGGUGGGUCUUUCUUGAGUGAGCUCUCAGAGCUGACCUCCUUUUUUAAGACAUCUAUUUGCAUGCAGGUGGCCAUCGAUGACAUCAAUGGUUUUGCAGUAUUGAGCCACAUUUUGGAUUUUACCUAGAAGAUGUGCAGAAUAUAAAUGUUUUCAUGAGAACAAAAUAUACAGCUGGAUGUUUGUCACAAUUCUAAUGUCCCUGCAAAGAUGAGAUGCAUGAAUCACACAGCAAUCUCAUCAAAAAGGAAUUUCUGGAAGGUAAGAAUAAAACACAAUGGACACUAAAACUUUUCUGCCCACGAAAGUAAGAGGCAUUUGAGAAUUGUUCACUUUAUCUUAUGAGGCAUAGGAGAAGAGAAUCCUGGAAAAAGCAAGAAGCAGGAAGAUAAGAGGCAAAGAAGAAGAGAGCCCCACCCACUGGGGCAAGCUGGGGCCCCAGAUGAUGAAACUGUGGCCCAGAAAGUUUAAGGGAUGUGUCAAAUGUCACACAGCUCACAGAUCCAGGGACAUGGCUUAAAUCCAGAUAUCUUGAUUCUAACUUCAGUUGAGGAAGAGAAAGAGUGCUGCCCCACGCUGCCUGAUUUACAACGUGAAGUGAAAUCUUUGAAAAGAAAAAUAAGACAAUGUCACUCAAGCUCUUAUCUGAGGAUUUCCUGGGUUUGAAGACAGAGCUCAAACUCAUACAAGGGGUCAUCUGAGUCUGCAGAUAGGCUUGCUUUAUGCUGCUCCGUCAGAUCUCUUCUAAAGAUUAGUGCGCAAUUCUGGACAUUACAUUUUAAUGGUAACAUGGAUUCAACUAAAGGCCGCAGCAACUUUGCUUUGUACACUCUGUCUCCUGCCAAGAGAGCCCAGGGAAGGUAAUGUCUCCUGGAUCGUAUGAAAUGUUUCUGUAACGGUCACUGUAACUCACACCUUGAUUUUUACCAGGUCGCUGGCAAGUGCGAUGGAUUGUAAUUGCUGCACAUUCAUGAGGGCUUCUCAAGGUUACCCGGGCACAGUGAAUACCAAAAGAAGAAUAAGACGGAGAGCUAUUCCUCAGUGAAGCAGAGUUUACAACCCUUGUUCAUUUUGGCCAAAGGCCAGCUGACUCUAGUUUACCUAACUUUUAGAGAGUUUCAGAAAAAAAAAUGGAAGUAAUAUCCUGCCUUUGAGUAUGGAGACAAAAUUCUAAUAUCAUAAGAGAGUUAUCAGAGGUUAAGGCAGUUAGAAGGGUUCAUUCAUUCAACAUUCAACACAAACUGUGAACACCUAACAUUUGCCAUGUACAAAGAAGGACGUUCUGCCUUGGACUAACAUCCAUUCCUGUGAGGGAAGAGAAGCAGCAGCCCCCGAGCACUGCCAGCUGCUGCUGCUGCGAUCCCAGUGUCUGAGUUUGUGACUCGCCGGGAGAUUGUCUGUUCCUGCUGCUUCCAAUAUCGUCUUGGCCUUUAUGAAGGCACAUGCACACGACUGUAGCGGCACCCCUGUCUCCGGCCCAUUGUGGACAUGACUGCUCUUCCAGUGUGGCUCCCCUGUGACAGGCACCUGCUCAGCAACCUACAGAAGCUCCCCCAGCUAUCACAGCUCAAAACUAAAUGUAGACGUGUGACUCUAUGAUACCUUCUGGCUAAAGAUUGCAUCUUUAUCAUCAGAGCAAUAUAUAUCAGGUUGAUUUAUUAACACUCUAUCUCCAAUUGGCUCUAUGCAAUGUGCAGACAAAUAAACACGUAAAUG
RNAcentral lists this long non-coding RNA (1858 nucleotides) under Homo sapiens (human). RNAcentral's name for it is "HSALNT0303818". The record is from RNAcentral. Lineage: Eukaryota; Metazoa; Chordata; Mammalia; Primates; Hominidae.